GUGAAAGGUAGUAAGUGAGUAGUGAUUCCCACUCUAUAAGGAUGAGCAACUGCACUAAUUAAAGCACAAGAUGACCAUCUCUCCCUCACACCACCUCCUGCAUCAGUUAGAAUAAGGGCCAGGGCUUGGAAUAUGAUAUGCUGGAAGAUAAGAGACCUGGGUCUACAAGCAAGAAUCACCUAUCUUUCCAAACUCACUAUAUACUUUCAAGAGAAUGUAUGGCAUUUAAUACAAUAGAAGAUUUCCAAGUAUUCUUAAAGAAAAGACCAGAACUAAAUAGAAAAUUUGAUGUUCAAAAACAAGAUUCAAGAAAACCAUAAAAAGGAGAUACCAAGGAAUAGAAGGAGGUGGGCCACUCUUUGCCUUAAUUUGAACAGGAACAACUGAAUUAAGCAGACCUACAUCAGAAGAAGAUAUCGUUUGGUAUUUCAAAGGUGAGCGUGCACAAAGACACUUGUGCAUGAAGAUUUAAGUGGAAGAGUCGAUGCACAGAGACAGUCCUACUCUCUCGGCGUUGGAAGCCUGGGUCCAGUGGCACCAAAAGUCAUUAUACCUGGAGACUUUCUCAGCUGCAUUGGAUGGCCGUGUUGUCCUUUGUGCUCCAACACUCCCUGAGCACUCCACAGUGCUUUGCUGCGUCGCCCUCUCAGCCGUUGAACCUUCUUGUUGGUUUCAUCCAUCUGUUCCGCCAAAGCAGUCUUCACAUGCUGGGGAACCUUGGAGCUUCUAUGUUCAACCUUGGCUCUUGAACUACUUCUUGGAGGAUUGCUCUGAAUCUUCUCAUUUGGACUUUGGUGUUGGAGGACUUUGCUUUGGGUCUUGUCCUUCAGUCUUCUUCUUUGGAGUUCAUCUUGGAUAG
Molecule: long non-coding RNA, 859 nt
Filed under: Monodelphis domestica (gray short-tailed opossum)
Lineage: Eukaryota; Metazoa; Chordata; Mammalia; Didelphimorphia; Didelphidae
Description: lncRNA (ENSMODG00000033720.2)
Source: RNAcentral